AAACAGGUUCUAAGAACCAUCAUAAUACUAAAAUAAAUGGUAU
Non-coding RNA from Aedes albopictus (Asian tiger mosquito), 43 nucleotides. The record is from Rfam. Lineage: Eukaryota; Metazoa; Arthropoda; Insecta; Diptera; Culicidae.